AGGUGGGGUAGAGCGUGCAAAAAUAUUUCCCACAGUCCCGCGCGAGGGAAAUCCUCUAGCAAGGACGGUAUCACGUGACAGGGGUGAGGCGAGGUUACCAGUGUCGGCUCCUUAGUUCGCUGCUGAGGGAACGGUUGGGGGCAGGAGAGAGCCUCGCGCUCUCAGUCCUGGUCCAGUGGCGGCAGCAGCAGGUUUCCAGCCCGUGCAGCAGAGACUCCCCGUUCCGCAGGCGCACCUCGGCCGGGCGGGGGACAUGCCUUGUGUGCUGACUGCGCGCGGGAACUGGCGCCUGGCGAGGGCGCUGGGGUGUAGCUACCGCCAGCCCAAAGAGACCUGGCGUGGGAGCCAGGUGUGUGACUCAGCGCCUGUAACGGGGCAGGACUCCGAGCCAGAGCGCUAUACCGGCCAUGUAUGAAAUACAGUCCCCGAUCCCCUCAGUCUGUAACGUGCCUUUACAGCAAAUUCAGCUUCCAGGCACUGCAAUCCCAGAAAAAAUAGACGAAUAUGGGGAAAUUCAGAGAAGAUGAAGAGGGAUCAGGAACGACUAAAAGAGAAAAUAUGAAUAGCAUGGCGAAGUGAUGUCUAAAAGUAGAUGUGAUAGCCAUCCUCAAGGGAGGAUGUAAAUUGAAAUAUAUUUUAAUCAAUUGUCAGUGACCAAAACCCCAGAGCAUAGUUCCUGAGAGUGUCUCAGUAAAUCAAGAGGAAUCAAAAUCAAAUUUAAACUGGCUAUUUUGCUUUUACAGUCUAAGAAACUUCUUGUAAAGAACAACGAUUUUAACCUCAGGAGGAUGUUUCAGUCCUGGUCCCUUGCCAGGAACAGCA
This is a long non-coding RNA of Gopherus flavomarginatus (Mexican gopher tortoise), 822 nucleotides long. RefSeq lists it as uncharacterized. NCBI's taxonomy places the organism in Eukaryota, Metazoa, Chordata, Testudines, Testudinidae. The transcript has 3 exons. The record is from RefSeq and is a predicted model, not a curated record.